GACGAACGCUGGCGGCGUGCUUAACACAUGCAAGUCGAACGGACAGGCCCUGCUUUUGUGGGGUGCUCGAGUGGCGAACGGGUGAGUAACACGUGAGUAACCUGCCCUUGACUUUGGGAUAACUUCAGGAAACUGGGGCUAAUACCGGAUAGGAGCUCCUGCUGCAUGGUGGGGGUUGGAAAGUUUCGGCGGUUGGGGAUGGUCUCGCGGCUUAUCAGCUUGUUGGUGGGGUAGUGGCUUACCAAGGCUUCGACGGGUAGCCGGCCUGAGAGGGUGACCGGCCACAUUGGGACUGAGAUACGGCCCAGACGCCAACGUGAGGCAGCAGUGGGGAAUAUUGCACAAUGGGCGGAAGCCAGAUGCAGCAACGCCGCGUGCGGGAUGACGGCCUUCGGGUUGUAAACCUCUUUCGCCUGUGACGAGGCGUGAGUGACGGUAAUGGGUAAAGAAGCACCGGCUAACUACGUG
This 468-nucleotide ribosomal RNA is filed under the name uncultured bacterium. RNAcentral's name for it is "partial 16S ribosomal RNA". It matches the Rfam family "Bacterial small subunit ribosomal RNA", at positions 28 to 507 of the family's 1533-position model. The record is from RNAcentral.